Long non-coding RNA from Papaver somniferum (opium poppy), 472 nucleotides. RefSeq lists it as uncharacterized. Lineage: Eukaryota; Viridiplantae; Streptophyta; Magnoliopsida; Ranunculales; Papaveraceae. The record is from RefSeq and is a predicted model, not a curated record. The transcript is spliced from 3 exons.
UGUCAUUCUUAAAAAUGGGGAACGAAAUAGAAGUAAUUUCGUCUUUGUGUAUAUGCAUCUUCGAGAGUCAUUUGGAAGAUGAGGAACUCUCAAGAUGGAUCUUGAUCUGAUGUUUUCUCCGUUAGUAAUUAUAAAUGUUUGUUGCAGUUACAUCUUACAAAAGCCUGGCCAAAAGGGAAUUAAUUUGUGGUUCUUUUCACUGUGAACUGAUCUUGUGUUCAAGGCAUUGAUCAGCUAACAUUCUUGCAUCAAGGAUUUUCACGUUGUCACCUUCAACUUUUACCUGCGACUGCUUCAGUUGACGUGCCCAAAGGAUUGUCAUGGAAGCUGCUUCCUCCUCUAUGCUUUUUUUGUGCUUGCUUCAAAACUUCUGCAUCUUGCUUCAGAGAACUUUCCUGUAGGGGUGUAAAUAAUACCCGAAAAUACUCGGCCUGCCUGUACCCGCUUGACCCUGCCUGUACCCGAAGUAGCU